AAUUUUUGGUACAAAUAUCAAGCUGAUCAUUAAUUGGAUCAAGUUAGACUUGAAUCUGACAUUUGUUAGGCCUUGCAAAAGAUCAAAAUCUUAGUUUUUUAUAAUAAGAAAGCUUUUAGUAUAUAUAUAAUAUGAAAUGGAAAAUCAUUUCAGACAUGUAAAAUGCAUGAUAUCAACAAUUAUAAAGUCCCAUGCUUUAGAAAAAUUACAUCA
Molecule: long non-coding RNA, 213 nt
Filed under: Elaeis guineensis (African oil palm)
Lineage: Eukaryota; Viridiplantae; Streptophyta; Magnoliopsida; Arecales; Arecaceae
Description: long non-coding RNA (EGUI_LNC003763)
Source: RNAcentral